CCCUUAGAUGCUCUGGGUCGCACGCGCGCUACACUGGUCGAUGCAACGAGUUUCUUUCCUUGGCCGACAGGCCUGGGCAAUCUUUGAACAUCGAUCGUGAUCGGGAUAGAUUCUUGUAAUUUUUGAUCUUAAACGAGGAAUUCCUAGUAAACGCAAGUCAUCAGCUUGCAUUGAUUACGUCCCUGCCCUUUGUACACACCGCCCGUCGCACCUACCGAUUGAAUGGUCCGGUGAAAUCUCCGGACUGGCGUGAGUCGGAGCAAUCUGACAAACGCCGGAAAGUUGAUUAAACCUUACCAUUUAGAGGAAGGUGAAGUCGUAACA
Molecule: ribosomal RNA, 324 nt
Filed under: uncultured eukaryote
Lineage: Eukaryota
Description: partial 18S ribosomal RNA
Rfam family: Eukaryotic small subunit ribosomal RNA
Source: RNAcentral